Molecule: ribosomal RNA, 396 nt
Filed under: uncultured bacterium
Lineage: Bacteria
Description: bacterial SSU rRNA
Rfam family: Bacterial small subunit ribosomal RNA
Source: RNAcentral
UAUUGCACAAUGGGGGAAACCCUGAUGCAGCGACGCCGCGUGAGUGAAGAAGUAUCUCGGUACGUAAAGCCCUAUCAGCAGGGAAGAAAAUGACGGUAUAUGACUCAGAAGCCCCGGCGAUCUACGUGCCAGCAGCCGCGGUAAUACGUAGGGGGCAAGCGUUAUCCGGAUUUACUGGGUGUAAAGGGAACGUAGACGGCAGCGCAAGUCUGGAGUGAAAUGCCGGGGCCCAACCCCGGAACUGCUUUGGAAACUGUGCAGCUCGAGUGCAGGAGAGGUAAGCGGAAUUCCUAGUGUAGCGGUGAAAUGCGUAGAUAUUAGGAGGAACACCAGUGGCGAAGGCGGCUUACUGGACUGUAACUGACGUUGAGGCUCGAAAGCGUGGGGAGCAAACAG